AGCUUUGCGCAGUGGCAGUAUCGUAGCCAAUGAGGUUUAUCCGAGGCGCGAUUAUUGCUAAUUGAAAACUUUUCCAAAACACCAAUACAGUAUACUAACGCAUAUAUAUGGAAUUUAGAAAGAUGCAAAUGAUAACCCUGUAU
Molecule: small nuclear RNA, 143 nt
Filed under: Moschus moschiferus (Siberian musk deer)
Lineage: Eukaryota; Metazoa; Chordata; Mammalia; Artiodactyla; Moschidae
Description: U4 spliceosomal RNA (ENSMMSG00000014978.1)
Rfam family: U4 spliceosomal RNA
About the family: U4 small nuclear RNA (U4 snRNA) is a component of the major U2-dependent spliceosome. The structure of U4 snRNA from yeast and human has been reported.
Source: RNAcentral